CUCCACAGCGUUGACUUUAGUUCAAGCAGCCUUCCAGUUCUGUUAAUUAAACUUUGGGGUACUGAAAUUGGCUGAGUGAAAUAACUAAAUAGAGUGUUACUCUAUUCAUAUACUUCUAACCUAUACAA
Molecule: small nucleolar RNA, 128 nt
Filed under: Meriones unguiculatus (Mongolian gerbil)
Lineage: Eukaryota; Metazoa; Chordata; Mammalia; Rodentia; Muridae
Source: RNAcentral